This 232-nucleotide unclassified non-coding RNA is filed under the name Glomus sp. RNAcentral describes it as "partial contains 5.8S ribosomal RNA and internal transcribed spacer 2". The stretch from base 1 to 71 matches the Rfam family "5.8S ribosomal RNA", at positions 84 to 154 of the family's 154-position model. The record is from RNAcentral. Lineage: Eukaryota; Fungi; Glomeromycota; Glomeromycetes; Glomerales; Glomeraceae.
GUGAAUCAUCAAAUCUUUGAACGCAAAUUGCACUCUCUGGUAUUCCGGAGAGUAUGCCUGUUUGAGGGUCAGUUAAAUAAAAAUCGGUGUGGUCGCUGCUUUUCGUGGUGACGCACCGGAUUUGGGUCGUCUUGCCUUCGGUUAAGUGACCUAAAAUUUUGCAUGAUUUUUUCGUACGUAUUUAAAUGAUUUUACGUACGUUUGCGAUGUCUGAUAGUAGCUGUGGUCAUCU